RNAcentral lists this ribosomal RNA (441 nucleotides) under uncultured bacterium. RNAcentral describes it as "bacterial SSU rRNA". It matches the Rfam family "Bacterial small subunit ribosomal RNA", at positions 338 to 795 of the family's 1533-position model. The record is from RNAcentral.
CCUACGGGGGGCUGCAGUCGAGAAUAUUCCCCAAUGGGCGAAAGCCUGAGGGAGCGACGCCGCGUGUGCGAUGAAGGCCUUCGGGUCGUAAAGCACUUUUGCCGAGGAAGAAUCAUGACGGUACUCGGAGAAUAAGAGGUUGCUAACUCUGUGCCAGCAGCAGCGGUAAUACAGAGACCUCAAGCAUUAUCCGGAUUUAUUGGGCGUAAAGGGUCCGCAGGUGGUUUGGUGCGUCAUUGGUUAAAUCUACGAGCUCAACUCGUAAACUGCCGGUGAUACGGCCAGACUAGAGGGUGGGAGAGGUGAGCAGAAUUACCGGUGUAGUAGUAAAAUGCGUUAAUAUCGGUAAGAAUACCAAAAGCGAAGGCAGCUCACUGGAACACUUCUGACACUCAGGGACGAAAGCGUGGGUAGCGAAAGGGAUUAGAUACCCCAGUAGUC